GUUCUCUGCAGACUGGGCUCGUCUCACUCUUGUAGCUGAGAGCUUACUGCUUUUUCUGUGGCCUUUGUCCUGGCAGCAUCCCUAUGUCCCAGUUCUGUCUCGAGGCAUGCUGGACUUCCUCAUGGCACCCACAACGUUCCUUAUGGGCUGUCACAUCAGCCAUUUUGAAGAAGUUGCAUCUGAAACGGAUGAUCUUGUCCUUAUUAAUCUUGAUAACGGAGGCGUGUCCACCUCCUGCUCAGAGACUGUUCAUUUACCGGACAUUCCUGCGUCUGCUGCUGAGUGCUUCUCACAGAGGUAAACACUACAUAAUGUACCAACAUCACCUGUUCAUGAGGGCAAUGAUAUUCACCCAUUUUUCUGUUUGGCAGGUGCCAGUCCUUACAACUGCAGUUCGACCUGAGCCACUGUCACAGUCCCAGCAGCACUGA
RNAcentral lists this long non-coding RNA (431 nucleotides) under Neogobius melanostomus (round goby). RNAcentral describes it as "lncRNA (ENSNMLG00000007618.1)". The record is from RNAcentral. Lineage: Eukaryota; Metazoa; Chordata; Actinopteri; Gobiiformes; Gobiidae.